Molecule: ribosomal RNA, 492 nt
Filed under: uncultured bacterium
Lineage: Bacteria
Description: partial 16S ribosomal RNA
Rfam family: Bacterial small subunit ribosomal RNA
Source: RNAcentral
AGUGAACGCUGGCGGUAGGCCUAACACAUGCAAGUCGAACGGCAGCACAGUAAGAGUUUGCUCUUACGGGUGGCGAGUGGCGGACGGGUGAGGAAUAUAUCGGAAUCUACUUUUUCGUGGGGGAUAACGUAGGGAAACUUACGCUAAUACCGCAUACGACCUACGGGUGAAAGCAGGGGAUCUUCGGACCUUGCGCGAUUGAAUGAGCCGAUGUCGGAUUAGCUAGUUGGCGGGGUAAAGGCCCACCAAGGCGACGAUCCGUAGCUGGCCUGAGAGGAUGAUCAGCCACACUGGAACUGAGACACGGUCCAGACUCCUACGGGAGGCAGCAGUGGGGAAUAUUGGGCAAUGGGCGCAAGCCUGAUCCAGCCAUACCGCGUGGGUGAAGAAGGCCUUCGGGUUGUAAAGCCCUUUUGUUGGGAAAGAAAAGCAGCAGGUUAAUACCCCGCUGUUCUGACGGUACCCAAAGAAUAAGCACCGGCUAACUUCGUG